GAGAAAAACAGAGCAGAGGACAAGAAACCCAACUGGGAGACCUAGAUGAAGACUGGAGCAACAAAGUGAGGGACGGGGCUGGAGAUAGACCGGAGACCAGUCUUACGUGCCAGAUGACAAAGAAGAUGAGGGAGGCGCACAGCACCAGGCCCAAAGCAGGCCUGAAACCAGAGCAGUUGCUGGAUAAAGACUCACCAGGGGAAGUUGGAUGGGGCUAUACACAGAAAAACCAGGGCCCAGAAGCUGAGUCUCGGCUGCCUAGAACCAGAUGCCCUCCGU
RNAcentral lists this small RNA (279 nucleotides) under Rattus norvegicus (Norway rat). RNAcentral's name for it is "uncharacterized LOC102555354". The record is from RNAcentral. Lineage: Eukaryota; Metazoa; Chordata; Mammalia; Rodentia; Muridae.